This 586-nucleotide ribosomal RNA is filed under the name uncultured archaeon. RNAcentral describes it as "bacterial SSU rRNA". It matches the Rfam family "Archaeal small subunit ribosomal RNA", at positions 1 to 585 of the family's 1478-position model. The record is from RNAcentral.
GGAAUCGAUUUUCCGGUUGAUCCUGCCGGAGGUCCUGCUAUCGGGGUUCGAUUAAGCCAUGCGAGUUGAGAGGGUUUAGACCCUCGGCGGACUGCUCAGUAACACGUGGAUAACCUGCCCUAAGGUGGAGGAUAACCCCGGGAAACUGGGGAUAAUACUCCAUAGACCAGAGUGACUGGAAUGUUUUCUGGUCGAAAGUUCCGGCGCCUUAGGAUGGAUCUGCGGCCGAUUAGGUAGUUGUUGGGGUAACGGCCCAACAAGCCAGUCAUCGGUACGGGUUGUGGGAGCAAGAGCCCGGAGAUGGAAUCUGAGACACGAUUCCAGGCCCUACGGGGCGCAGCAGGCGCGAAAACUUUACAAUGCAGGAAACUGUGAUAAGGGAACCCCGAGUGCUCGUACACGCGAGCUGUCCAGGUGUGUAAAAAGCAUCUGAAAGAAAGGGCCGGGCAAGACCGGUGCCAGCCGCCGCGGUAAUACCGGCGGCUCGAGUGGUGGCCACUAUUAUUGGGCUUAAAGCGUUCGUAGCUGGACUCUUAAGUCUCCUGGGAAAUCCGCCGGCUCAACCGGCGGGCGUCCAGGAGAUACU